GUGUGUGUGUGUGUGUGUGUGUGUGUGUGUGUGUAUAUAUAUGUGUAUAUAUAUAUAUAUAUAUACACACACACACCACUUAACAAGUUG
Non-coding RNA from Pelobates cultripes (western spadefoot toad), 90 nucleotides. Lineage: Eukaryota; Metazoa; Chordata; Amphibia; Anura; Pelobatidae. The record is from the annotation of a GenBank genome assembly.